CAAUGCUCAAGCCGAGUUUCAGCAUCCUGUGGAUUCUGUUGCCAAAGGUGUUAGGGUCAUCAAGGCUGAAGCCAGAGGUGAGGAGAGCAGUCUCGAAGAGAAGGAGAACAAGGUCCUUCACAGAUUUAUCAUUCUUCUCUGCAUCGGCUCUCUUUCUCAGCUCUUCCAUGAUGGGGUUCUCCGGGUUGAUCUCCAUUGUCUUCUUGCUUGACAUGUAACCAGCCAUGCUGUUAUCCCUCAAAGCCUGGGCCUUCAUGAUUCUCUCCAUGUUUGCAGUCCAACCAUACUCGCCAGUCACUAAACAGCAAGGUGAGUCAACAACACGAUCAGAAACCACAACCUUUUCAACCUUGUCACCCAGCACAUCCUUGAUGACCUUGCAAAGACCCUCAAACUUUUCCUUCAAAGCUUCCUUCUUCUUCUUCUCAUCCUCACUCUCAUCAAGUUUAAGACCUUCCUUGGUAGCUGACACAAGCUUUUUGCCCUCAAAUUCUUUGAGCUGUCCGACAGCAUACUCAUCAAUAGCAUCAACCAUGUAAAGGACCUCAUAACCCUUCUUCUUCAGCUUCUCAAGGAAGGGAGAGUUCUCAACUGCCUUUUUACUCUCACCAGUGAUGUAGUAGAUAUCAUUCUGACCCUCCUUCAUUCUGGUCACAUAGUCCUUCAAGCUGGUCAGCUCAUCACCACUCUUGGUGGAGUGGUAGCGGAGCAAUUCGGCAAUUUUAGUCCUGUUCUGAGAGUCCUCAUGGAUACCAAGCUUGAGGUUCUUUGAGAAUGCCUCAUAAAACUUGUUGUAAUCUUCCUUGUUCUCUGCUAUUUCAAAGAAGAGCUCAAUGCACUUCUUUACCAAGUUCUUGCGGAUAACCUUCAAGAUCUUGUUUUGCUGCAACAUUUCUCUUGAGAUGUUCAAAGGAAGGUCCUCUGAGUCGACAAUACCCUUAACAAAGCUGAGGAAUUCAGGAAUCAACUCCUCGCAGUUGUCCAUGAUAAAGACACGUCUCACAUACAGCUUAAUGUUGUUGGGCUUCUUCCUUGUGUCAAAGAGAUCAAAAGGAGCCCUCUUGGGGACAAAGAGGACAGCCUUGAACUCAAGUUGCCCCUCAACUGAGAAGUGCUUGACGGCCAAAUGCUCUUCCCAGUCAUUUGUAAGGCUCUUGUAGAAAGCAGCAUAUUCUUCCUUGGUAAUCUCCUCAGGCUUCCUCAUCCAGAUGGGCUUCUGUUUGUUCACCAAAGACCACUCGUGCGACACCUCCUUAAUCUUCUUCUUUUUCUUUUCUUCCUUCUCUUUCUCCUCAUCAACAUCCUCAACUUUCCCUUCUUCGUCCUUCUUAUCCUCCUCAUCUUCAUCAUCAGAAAUCUCCUUCUCAGUGGUCUUCUCAAUCCAAAGGGAAAUCGGGUAGCUAAUAAAUUCAGAAUGCUUCUUAAUCAAAUCCUUCAAACGUCGCUCCUCAAGGUACUCAAGCUGAUCCUCUUUCAAAAACAGAGUAAUCUUUGUACCCCUACCAAGGUUCUCCCCGGAAGUAUCCCUGGUAACAGUGAAUGAACCACCAGCUUGGGACUCCCACACAUAUUGUUCAUCAUCAUUAUGCUUUGCGGUUACAAUAACCUUCUCAGCAACCAAGUAUGCGGAGUAGAAACCAACACCAAAUUGACCAAUCAUACUAACGUCAGCACCAGCAGCCAGUGCUUCCAUAAACUCCUUAGUACCAGAUCUUGCGAUUGUACCAAGAUUGUUCACCAAAUCUAAACAACAGAAAUAUAUAAAUGCAUUAGAUUCCCAUUUUAAACGAAACUCCACAACUAAAUGCACAAUAGUUGAUACUCCAAUACUCAAGAAAACACUUACCAGCCUUAGUCAUGCCAAUACCACUGUCAAUGAUGGACAGUGUAUUGUUAGUCUUGUCUGGAAUAAUGUGGAUGAAGAGCUCAGGUUGAGCAUCGAGCUUGCUCUUGUCUGUCAAGCUCUCGAACCUGAUCUUAUCCAAAGCCUACAGGUAAAAGAUUUAACAUCAUAUACUAAUCACUAACCACACCAAAAAGGCACUUCAGUUAUGUUACACGCAUUAGAUUCACGAGAUCUUUCUUAUUUACUCUUUUACAUUCAAAGAAACCAAAAAAAUGUACUAACAUACCGCUUCAAUUAAGUUCCAAUAAGCAUAAAUUAACGGCCAACUAAAAAUACAAAAGCUAAACCCUAAACCCUAAAAAUAUUUCACUAACAAAAGCAUUAUGCAAAUCAAAACAAACAACCACUGAACAGAAAAUUACGCAUUAAACAUCAUAAUAACAUAUAUCCAAAUCCAAAAUAAACUCCAACAUUUCUAUUAUGAAACAAACAAACAAAAAGAAAUCCAUCAAUAUCGAAUAAAGAGAUCAGAUCCAUACAAUCACGCAUAAAAAAAAAUCAAAAACUAUUAUUAAAUAGAACUUACAUCAGAGGCGUUACUGAUAAGCUCACGAAGAAAGAUCUCCUUGUUGCUGUAGAAAGUGUUGAUAAUCAAACUAAGAAGCUGAUUGAUCUCAGCUUGAAAAGCAAACGUCUCAGUAUCCGCCAUUGAUGAUAAACCUCUAACCUCCCGAUCCAAAACACACUAAGAAAUACCGUAAAAUGAGAGAGUAUUCAAAUUUCGAAUAGAGAGAAAGAGCAGAAAAUAUCAGAGUGAGGCAGUUCUGUGAUGCAAGGCUGAAGGGUACCUUAUAUAGGGGAACUUCAUUAGGGUUUCUAGAUCCUUCUAUUGACGUACUUUUAAAAAAAAAUUAUUUUUGGGUUUACCUAUAUGAUAGCAGAAUAGGGAAUGCGGGAGCCACUCAUUUAUAUGCUUAAUACUUUUCUUCGCCAAUUAGACUUUGCUUUCUUUUUUUUCUUUUUCUUUUUUUUUUUUGACUUUUUUUGUUAUAUUUAUUAUAAAUAUAUAAAAUAUAAGGCAAAAAUGUUCGCUUAAAAUUAAAUUAAAUGUUAAAAAAUAAAAAAAAUUAUAUUCAAUUACAAAAAUAGAAAAUUAAAAAAAAAUUUAUUAAUCAAGAUGAGAUGAUGUUUUUUUUUUUUCAAAUACAUUUUUUAGAAAAAUAAAUAAAAAUUACAAAUGGCGGAAAAUGCUUUUGGUUAAAAUCGUUUUUUGUAAAACGUGUAUGAUAAGUAACGUUUUAGCUUCCACGUUCGAUGAAGCUUCUUAUGGAAACUUUGAAAACGACUUUAAAAUUUAUAGAAUUUAUUAGAGUUAGUGAGGAUGAUGGGUCAGGUUGGGUUUGGUUCAAGUCGGAUCGGGUCAGGUUGGGCAUCAAUAUAAUUUUAGAUUCUGUCUAAAAGAUAGAUUUAAAAUUUUGUCUAUAUUUGACUCGGAUGAAAAUAUUAAAACUUGAGCCCGAAUUGAUCUGCCCGUAUUGAAAAUAAAUUUAAAAUUUUUUAAUAUUUAUGCUUAAAUAAUACUAAGAUAUGUGCAAGUUAGUAAGGAAAUAUCUUUAAAAUAGUAGCAAAAUUAAUAAUAAAACAAGAGUUGUACAAUAUUCAAACAAUAACAACAAAAUAGUAAUAAUAUAAUAACGAAAUAGCAGCAAAACAGUGAAAAAGCAACACCAAAACAGUGGAAACAGCACCAUGUUUGUUUGUUUCUUUACAAAUUGGGAUCAGACCAGGCUGGGCAUGGGCCAAAAACGGCUUACCCAAGACUUGACCCCUUUAGAAAAUGGGUUUCAUUUUUUUGCCUAAGCCUAUUUUUUGAGCCUAUAUUUUUACCCAAACCCUCUCACUUUUAGGGCAGGCCUUCGGGCCCGAUCGAGUGACCUGGCCCAUGAUCAAGUCUAAUUAGAAUAGUUCUUGCACUUUAAAUACUAGGUUUUUAUUCACCAUUUGGCUUUUGAAGUAUAUUCAUUUUUUUAUAUUUGUACCUAAAUUUUUUUGUACCAUUUUAGUACUUGAAUUAUAAUUUUGUUACACUUUUUUGGCCCUUGCCGUUAAUGGUGUUAAAAGAACAAAAAUCGAUUAGAACACACUAUGUGUUCCUGUUGACCGCUGAUGUGGACGUUGAUCGAGUUUUAUCCAAAUAAAAAUCAUUUAAAAUUAUAAAUUUUUUGAAUUUUUUUUAUUCCAUGUGAUGCCUUUGUUUGAUGAUGUUGGUAGGGAAGUCAUUCAUCUUUCUUGGGUAAUUUGAUAAACAAUCGCCAUGGAUUUUGAUUCAAAGAUCCUGUAAAUAUGCAACAAAUGAUUGUUUCAAGAACAAAGAGAGAAAUAAAUAAGUAAUCAACAAUCUUUCCAAUGCCAAAGAAGCAUUAAUAUUUUUCAAAAACUUGUAAAUCGUCAUCACUUGUAAUUUAAAUAGUGCUUCAAUGACCCAAAUUUAUGGCGGAGAAACAACAAGAAAGAAAAUUGUUUUUACCAUUUUUAAGCAAAAUUCAAUCUUUGUAGGUUGCUAAUGUUCCUUUACAAGUUUACAUGUGUAACACCCUUUAUUCGAGUAAACUCGGGCAAUGAGUGUUACAUUUAACACUGAACAUUUACUUACGAAUUCAAAUAGUUUUAAAUUGGAAUUUUACAAAUGAUAUCAGGUCCUUAUUAUGUUUUUAGGAACAUAAUUUAUCUAAUAAUAAAGAUUAAUUGCAUGUAAAUAUUGUUUUAGAUCUCAUAUCACUUAAUUAAAAUUUUUGCCCUGCAGGUCUGUAUGUCUCGAGACCAUGGCCUUCAUGUCUCAAGAUAUUGUCAUGGCAUUGUAGAAAUUUGGCUUUGAAAUUGCCUUAUCUAGGGAAAAUGGGGCUUUUUUCUCGAGAUAAAGUCCAAUAUAUCUUGAGACAUGGCAAUGUUACUGUAGAUUUUUAGGUUCGCAGUUUCGAUGUCUCGAAACAUAUUUCUAGUAAUACCCAUCGCCUGACCUAAUUGUCGGGUCCUAGCUACCGGAUGCUACAGUCGUUGCCGAAGCAAUUACAGUUAAUUUACAAGAAAAUAAUCAUAAUCGCAUGUAAUUUAACAUCAAACACAUUCAUCUAUAGUUAAAGAAUCAAAACUGAGUCUUGUUCAAGCUUACAAAAGCUCUUUUGUCAACCUGAGCUCAAAAUAGGACCAAAUUGCAAAUUUUUAAAAUUUCAAGGUUGACGUCGUGACGUCUCCAAAUAGUUUGUCAUGUUAUGACCUCAAGCCUCUCGACGUCACAACGUGACUCACAUUGAUCGACAUUGCGACGAGAUAGGUUACUCAUCGGGAUGUGAACUCUGUUUUUGGUAAAAAAAAAAUGGACCAUUUGGUACCUAUUUCAAAUAUUCCCAAACAUACCUAUCAAUUUACGCACCAAAGCCAACUUCAAUUGAAUAAAAACAUACCUCAAGCAUACCAAAACACAUAACAUUUCAUACCAAAUCAAGUCAUCAACUACUUCCAUUCAACCAUUUCAACAUAAGUUCAACUAUUAUCAAUUAUUCAUUUUCAUACAUUCCAUCAAAUACCAUUCCAUAUAAAUCAACCAAACCAUUCAAUUAUCAAUCCUUACCUAGGCCAAGUCAUAUAGGAUCAUGCCAUUUCAUUUUCAUUUCAAAGACUUCAGCAUAUUUGCACAUCUAUUCAUUCAACUUACCAUUUCUUCCAUAUUUAACUUUUAACAUAUCAAAUGACAUGUUCAAGUUUAAAAUCAUCAAUUAAACCACAUCAAGCAUUAGCUAAUAUUUCAUACACCAUCUAGUACAUACCAAUUUUUCAACAACUCAAUAUUUGCCACAAAUAUCAAACGUACCAAAUGAUCAACAUAGUGACUAUUUCCUUAACAUCUAAUCCUUAUUUACAUGUCACGAUCCCAAAACUCAAAGUGAUCAAAAAGCUUACCAAUUUAAGGAUAGUGUGAGUUUCGAGGUAAUCCAGCUUGACGUGUUCCACAAGGUAUUGAUCUACAAGGAAAAGGAAAAACAACGGGGUAAGCAUAUAAAAUUCUUAGUAAGUUCAUAUGAAAUUUACAUUACUUACCUUAACAAUUCAACAAGCUAGAUUACUAAACAUAUUGACAUUUAAUUGCCCUUCCUUGACAUACUUUGAUGCAACUAAGACACAUAAACAUAUACAACCAAAUAGGUUAGUCAAUUUGCAUACCAAGAUCAUUAAGUAAGUAAUCAUAUACCAUAACUCAAUUUGAAAGCAUAUGCAACCCAAUAUAUGCCCAAACCAUUUUAAUAUUUCCAUUUCCAUUAGGUUAAAGUUUCGUCUGAGGGAACUAUAGUAAAACGAACUCGGAUACACGGGAAUAUUUUCCUUACACAACCUGAGAUUUUAACGAAAAUGCUCACACAAGUUGGCAUCGUAUUAAGGUUACUAGUCCAGGCUAAACCAAUGAUACAUAUAACUUGAGAAUCUGCAACAAAUGUUAUAUCUCGUAUCAUCAUGUAAAUCCCUGAUCGAUUACGUGUAUAAUCCUAAUGACAUGUAAUAUGUAUCUUAAUCUUUUACUAAGUUCACACGGGUAUUAUUUUCGUCUACAUAUCAUUAACAAACCUUGUACUAGUUUACAUAUUUCAUACAAGUGCUGUAAACAUUCAACAUUCACAUUUGAUACUCCGUACCUAUUCGUAAUAACCAAUAUUUUCAUGUUUUUCAAUUCAGUCCAUGUGAACUCAAAUAUGUUAAUUUCACAUAUUAAGUAUAAACACACAAUUGAAACAAUACAAUUCAAAAAAAAAUUAAUAAUUUCCAUAUGAACUUACCUGGUAAAACAACAAAUAAACGAGUCUUUGAGGACUAAUUGACAAUUUUUGCUUUUCCUCAAUUUCUCUGGUUUGGUUCAAUUUUCGAUCUAUAUAAUUAUUCAAUUCAAUUUAUCAAUACUAAAAAUUUUUAUAUCAUCUCAUAAUAUGCAUGAACUAGUUUAAAUUCCAUCUUUUCGAAUGCCUAUAAAAAUUUACAUUUUAUUCAAUUUAGUCCCUAAACCCGAAAUAGCAAUAACUUUCAAUUUUAAGCUUCAAUUUCAGAGCCGAUCUUAAUCACAUCCUUCUAGGACCCUCUAUUAUCUAUUAUUAUAGAAAUUUCAUAUCAAAUAUUCAAUGUAUACACUUUAGUCAUUUUUGACAAAACUAAGAAUUAAACUUUAAAAUUUGGUCCCUUUUUUCACAUCUAAGUUUAAAAUUUAUAAAUUUAACAUCAAAUUAUUUAAGAAAUCAUCAAUGGGAACUUUCAAAAACUUUAACAAUUUUUACAAAUUGGUACAUGGGCUAGCUAAAUCAAGCUCCCAUGACCACAAAAACAUAAAAGUUACACGAAAAGAACUUAAUUGAGCAUACCUAAUAGUUGCUGAAACUUUGAAGCUUUUGAAACCCUAUUUCUCCCUUUUAGUUCGGUGGAGAAGAUGGUGCAGAGAAAAAAAUGAUUUGUUUUUCUUUUAAUUUUUGCUUAUAUACCUUUAAUUAACUUGAUUAAUCAUAAUUAAUUAAUAAAAACUUAAUUAAUUAAACCUUAAGUGUAAUCAACCAAUGGGUUUUAAAUACAUCCACCACUAUUUGAAGCAAUUAAAAUGGUUUAAUUGCCUUUUUGAUCCUUUAGCUAUUUAAAAAUCUAUAGAGAUAAGAUUUUUAUAAUUUAGUCCAUGUACCCUAAUUAACUAUCAAUUCGGAAAAAUUACUGGAUAAAAAUUUAAUAUAUUUUUAUAUUAACCUCGUAAAUAUUAAAUAUUAAUAUUUAUGGACUUAAACUACGGAAAUAGGGUUCUGAAACCAUAGUUUUUGACACCACUAACAAUCUGGUUGUUACAUAGUUUCUUCCGGCUCCCAUGUAGCCUCUUAUGUACUGUAAUGAUGUCAUAAUACUUUCAUUAGUGCCACAUGUUUAUUUCUUAAAUAUUUUACUUCUCGAGCUAAAAUCUUUACCGAUUCUUCACUAUACAUCAAAUCAGGAUGUAACUCUAUUUCAUCAGGAGAUAACUUAUGGGAUAGAUAGGAUAUAUAUCUUGGUAACAUUGAUAUGUGGAAGACAUUAUGAAUCUUGUCUAAUUAUGGACGUAGAGCUAGUUGAUACGCUACAGGUCCAAUUCUUCCAAGAAUCUCAUGCGACCCAAUAAACCUCGGACUGAGUUUUUCUGUUCUGUCAAAAUGCAAAACUUUCUUCCAAGACAAAACUUUCAGAAAGACUUUAUCACAAAUCUGAAAUUCAAUGUCUUUUCUUUUUAAGUCACUAUAAGACUUUUUUCUGUCGAAAGCAACUUUCAAACAGUCUCGAAUAAUCUAGACCUUUUCUUUAAUUUAUUGUAUCAAAUCAGUUCCUGUUAACUUUCUUUCACUCAACUCUAGCCAGCAUAGAGGAGUUAUGCAUUUACAACCAUAUAAAACCUCAUAAGAUGUCAUUUUAAUGCUCGGAUGAUAACUAUUGUUGUAAGCAAACUUAGCUAACGGUAGGAAUCUUUUCCAGCCACCUUCAGAUUUAAUCACACAACAUCGUAACAUAUCUUUGAGUAUUUGAAUCACUCGUUCUGAUUGUCCGUCAGUCUGAGGAUGAAACGCUAUACUGAAAUUCAGUUUCAUACUCAAGGCUUCGUGUAAUUUACCCCAAAAUCUGGAGGUAAAUCUUGAGUCCCAGUCUAAAAUGAUAGACAAUGGCACACUAUAUAAUCUGACAAUAUUUGAGAUAUAAAUUUCAGCUAACUUCUCAUGGUAACCAUUACUAUCUUCCUAAAUAAAAAUGUUAAUUAAUUACAAAUAAUAAUUAAAUUAUUUUUCCUGGACAAAUGACUUGUGACCAUUUUACUUUUCCAUUUAUCAUGUCAUGCCGAUGAAAAAAUAUCAUUUACCAUAUUUGGGCUAUGAAUUCCACUAUUGUAAGUGGUGUUAUGUCAUGCAGAAGUUGUAUGCCUAAUGUACCAACUUUUGACUCUAUUACCAAUUUGAACUUGGGUUUUUAAUAUCUAUGCAAAGAAGGGCAGAAGGUCUUUGGGAGAACCCUUUAGGAAAACACUAGACAAGAACAUCCCUAGAUUGUCAAGUGUUGAACUUGUUCCCUUGGUUGAAGGAUCUUCACUUGUAGCUACUUCUUUGUUGAAAUAUGUUCCUCCGAAUGUUGUUGCCUCCACCCCUUUGAAUAGCCUUUAAGGUACUAGCCUGUAAAUGAGCUUGAAGGUUAUAGAAAUCGCACCCUCCUUCAAGUGGCAAAGACAUAUGUCCCUCUACUAAUAUAUCUUUAGUCUACCUUUUAUUUUCUUACUUGUGUGUUGGUUUUUUUUUAUAACGAAUGAGAGAGAAAACUUGGAGUAAAAACUUCAAUUGUUGGAGGGGGAAUUGGAAGUUUUAAAGAAUAAGUGUUUGAAUGAGGAUAGUCACCCGAAAAGAGACCAAUUACAUUAUGUGUAACACCUUAAUUCUGGCUCAGAAGUCCAGUUGGAUCCAAAGCCUUAUAGUGGUCGCUAGCACGAACUAGUUCAAUCAAUCAUUCAAUUUAGUCUCGAAAUUAAAAAUUCAAAGAAGUCCAUGAUUCAUAACAAUACUAAAAAUCUAAAUUUUAUCAUUUCAUAUGAAUUUUCUGAAACAAUUCAUUUUAGGCUUAAUUCACAAUUUAGCCCUUGAAAUAUACCCAUUUUUCCAUUUUAAUACCUAAAAUUUUUUGUCCCAAUUUGUUACCUAAAGUAUCAAUUUCCUCUAUUUUUGGUCCAUUUGUAACAAAAAUUUAAAAAAAAACUCUUAGGCAACUUUGGCUAAUGAAAAAGCGGCACAUGGCAUGUUUUGGCCAAUGAAAAAAUGUCACAUGGCAAUUAAUUUUAUUUAAAAUAAAUUAUUAAAUUAAAAAUUAAAAAUUAUAAUAUUAAAAAAUACUUUUGACAUUGACCAACCACAACAUUGACUGGCCACAUAGCGCAAUUAGAACAUGCAAUGUGUCCCUUUUUUUUUUUUACUAUUAUAUUGAUUAAGAAUGUAAAAAAAUCAUAUAUAAUAUAUAUUUUUAAAAAUUAAAAAUAUUUUUUAUAAAAUUUUAAAAUAUAUAAUUUUAAAUUUUAAAAAGUCAAAAUAAUAUAUAAAAAUUAAAAAAUGUUAUAAAAAUUAAAAAAAGGUAUUUAAAUUUUUUUUACACUUUUAGUAAUAAUAUUAUUAAUUUCAACUAAUUUCUUUUCAGUUAUCCUAUUUUUUAUAAAUUUUAUUUUUAUAAAAAAUUAUAAUUUAUAUGUUUUUUUCUAUCUUUUAUAUUUAUUUAUAAUUUUAAUAUAUUUAAUUUUAUUUUUUAUAUUUUUAAUGUAUAUAUGCAUUUAGUAAAAGAAAAUAUUUAUUUUUACAUCAAAAUGUACAUGGCGCUUUGUGAUUAGUUACAAGAUUUUUUUUAUCGUUUGUCAGAAAAUGAACUAAAAAAUAUAAGGGAGACAUAUACCAAAUUGAGGAUUUAAGUGUAUUUUAGAUAUCAAAUUAGGAAAAAAAAUUAAGUACCAAAAUGAAAAAAUUGGGAAUUCUUUAAAAGUCAAAUGAUGAAUUAAGCCUUUAUUUUACCAAUAUUAUACAAAUAGUUCGAAAAAUUUUCACCGAACUGAUCUCAUAUCAGCAUGAACUCAAUACUGAAAUUUUCGGGGUGUUGCAUUAUGUUAUUAAGAGCAAGGAUAAAGAGUUGGCAUUGUUGGAGAGAGAGACAAAGCAUUGUCUGAGGAACUGAAGAGGGUAAUGAAGGAGCUACCUGUUGAUACAGCAAAGAAUGAAGAUCUAGUCGAGCAGAUAAUCAACACUACACAAUGCCACCGCGAAUGGACGCUUUGGAAAUGCAGCUAAAGUAUGGGCCAUUAGAUUUCCUCAUGAGUUGUUGCAUCCCGUGUUAGAACCCUUAUUAAAAAGAGUGGAGCUUCGUGCUACUGUUGCUGCUCCACUAGAGAAUAAUGAGAGACUACGAAGGAAGCUACUCUAGAUGCUACCCUAGGCUUUGAAUAGAAUGUUAUAAUUAGUCAAGCGACUACUGUUGUCGAGGAUGACUGAACUUUUAUAUUGUUUUUAUGAACCAUUGGUUUUGUUUUUUCGUGUUUGUUGUUUAUGAUCUAGGUUCAAAGUUGUUUGGAUCAGUGACGAUCAGGCUAGGUUGCUUAGCAGAAGAAUCCAUGAAGGAUUCCCAGAAAUGACAUCAAUUCUUGACAUCGUUUUUGUGAUAUUGGUCAAGGUAGGUUGAAGGUGAGCUAUUGGUGAUCAGUAACACAAAAUCAAAGGGUGCAAGAGUCUUCUGAAGCACCCUCUGCUUAAGACAACAAAGUAUAACGGAAGAAGGAUCAAAGAAAGCAGGGUUUAUGGAAGAGAUUGUUUUCGUACCUGAUCAACAUGGUGAAAGUGCAUAUUUAUAGGCUUUGUGCCUAGAGCUGCUCGGGCUGGUGCCUCGAUUUCAGUUGGUUGUGCUUGGGCAUUUUUUUCGCAUAUUCAAGGUCAUUAGCUUCCUACCUUAUUUCGUUUUAACUCUUCUCGGUCCUUGAUUGUGCGAAAGCUUUUGAGCUUUGCACAAGAAGGUCCCUUCUGAAGCAUUUCAAACCUGUUCUUAUUAUAUUAUGAGCUGAUAACCUUUUUGUGGGUUUUUGGUGAUUGAUUAGCCUACUAUUGAUUAAACCAUUAUAUUUGUCUGGGCUUGAGCCUGUGUGUAUUGUCUUUAGGUCUAGUACAUUGAAUUUUGUGUAUUAAAACUGUUAUAUUGGAUUUAGAUGUGUUGAAUGAGUUGAGAUAAGGCUAUUCAAACUGAAAAAAGAAGAUUAACACACUUGUGAGUCGGCGUAGCUAUGCGUGUCGACGGUGCUUGGUUUGCAUGCUUGAUUAAUUUCCUCGACACCUACGGCUCGUUGUCGACGGUAUUUCCUACUUGGUGAUUCGCAGAAGUUCCUGCAGCCGUUACCCCCAUUAUUCACAUUUUUGUUUGUGGAAAUCAACAGAAAAUACACCUACUGCUGCUGCUGCUGUAUACAAUACCGUAUAUCUUAACAAGGCUUUACACCAUUCAAUAUUAAAAAAGAAAAAGAAAAAGGAAGCCGUCCCAUCAGAUCAUAUGGUAGUUAAUUUCCAACUUUCACAUUUUUUAUUCAAGUAAAGUCCUGAUGAAGCAAUGUAUAAUAACCAUUUAAGAAAACAUAUGGCAACAGCAACCAUUCUAAGCAUUCUAAGCAAGCACCAAAGAUAAGGCACCGAUAAAAUGUAUAAAUAUACCAGAAACAGAACAGCAAUUAUCAUUAAGAACUUUCUCCAAAAUCACUAACAAAACCUCCCAAAAAGGCACAAAACAAAAUAUUAAACCUAAGGAUAACUUCAAUAAUAAUUAAAAAAAAAACUAGUAAAAAGUUCCAACAAGAAGAGUGGUGCUUAGUCAACUUCUUCCAUUUUGCUGCCUUCAGCAUCAGCAUCCUCCAAUGGGGGCAUAUCAGCAUCAGCUUCAGCUUCACCUGCAUCCUCGUCAAUGCUCAAGCCGAGUUUCAGCAUCCUGUGGAUUCUGUUGCCAAAGGUGUUAGGUUCAUCAAGGCUGAAGCCAGAGGUGAGGAGAGCAGUCUCAAAGAGAAGGAGAACAAGGUCCUUCACAGAUUUAUCAUUCUUGUCUGCAUCAGCUCUCUUUCUCAGCUCUUCCAUGAUGGGAUUCUCCGGGUUGAUCUCCAUUGUCUUCUUGCUUGAC
Molecule: long non-coding RNA, 12553 nt
Filed under: Gossypium raimondii (Peruvian cotton)
Lineage: Eukaryota; Viridiplantae; Streptophyta; Magnoliopsida; Malvales; Malvaceae
Description: long non-coding RNA (GRAI_LNC002492)
Source: RNAcentral